GUAACUAAAUUACUUACUUUGGAGAACCUGUCUUCAUCUCUUCCCGUCUGGAUGACAAAGAAAUAAAAGUCCGAUUCGAGGCGGCGUAGCGUUCUUUCUUUCUCUCGCUCUGCACCUUCGUCUUCAGCUCUUCUUCUUAUCCUACACACCUUCUCUCUCUCUCUCUCUCUCUCUCUCUCUCUCUCUCUCUCUCUCUCUACAACACAUUUUUCACAUACUCUGAGCUUCAACACACACUACUAUCUCGAUCUUCACUAGCUUUUCAACUUGAAAACAAACACACUUUUUCUGUGUUUUAUACUUUGAUUUGAAGUAUCUGAAGUACAACUCUCUUGGUAUAUUGUUGAAUUUAGUUCUCAUUGUAAGUAAUUAGGGUUACAGAUCUGGAAAAUGUGAGAGAAAAUGAGUAUGGCUGGUAAUAAUAACAAUGGAGGUGUAAAUAAUAAUGAUGGUAGAAAUGGAGGAGCUUCAAUUAGUGAUGUUGCUUCAGCUAUUGGUUCUCUAGAUACAAGAUUUCCACGACAAGAACGGGUAAUUUUCAAUUCAUUAAGUUUGCAGAAAUUCCAACUCCAGGUUACAGAAACCAACGCCGCAGAAAUCCCAGAAAAGUUUGCUUUUCUGUUAAUGGAAGUUACUUCUAUGUGUUAAUAUCUGUC
Molecule: long non-coding RNA, 656 nt
Filed under: Aquilegia coerulea
Lineage: Eukaryota; Viridiplantae; Streptophyta; Magnoliopsida; Ranunculales; Ranunculaceae
Description: long non-coding RNA (ACOE_LNC000091)
Source: RNAcentral